Molecule: long non-coding RNA, 307 nt
Filed under: Elaeis guineensis (African oil palm)
Lineage: Eukaryota; Viridiplantae; Streptophyta; Magnoliopsida; Arecales; Arecaceae
Description: long non-coding RNA (EGUI_LNC006088)
Source: RNAcentral
CCUUCUUCUUCUCCUUUUUCUGGUUGUUUCUACAAGGAACAUCACGUUUCAUCAUUGACAAUGGGUGGAAUCUAAUGCUAGCUGAGUUGUACAUAAGCAACAAAGCAGAGUUAACUCGAAGCUAAUUUGAGAAACAGUUAGCUUCAAUAAGAGUGAUGACACUAGCGUGAAAAUGUUUAUGCAUGGAUAGAAAUCUGCUUUCUUGGAAUCCAGAGUCAAUCUUUAACAAACAAAGAUGGUGCAAUCUGUGAGAGAACUUCCACUCAAAUACCAGGGGAAAAAAAUAUCCCCAUGGAAUGCUUGGAGC